ACAUCCACUGCUGUUGCCGGCGGCAUCUUCCCGAGGCAGUUAGCAGCCAGCUGGCCGUGCGGCAGGAGUAGUGCUACCAAGCAAGCCUGCUGGUGUAUCUCCGUUGAACUCAGUGCUGUGAGUGUGUGCACAAGCUCUGAACAAACUAUAUAAACUAAGUGAAAUAAUGUCACAGUUUCACUGAUACAAAACACAGUGACGUACUGUUGGUUUCUCAUUAAUCAGAGACCUAAUACCACCACGUUACUACAGUACCCCGUAACGAGUGAACUCUUGUUGGUGUAAAUAAAUUGUAUAUAUUGACUUGAUUCAAAUUUUCUUUCAAGUCUACUCAUAUCACACCACUUUAAAUCAAAUGUUCUUGCCACUGGCGUGACAAACAGUGACAAAUAGUGACAAAAUGUGCCUAAGAACUAGAAAAAAACUACGUGAAAAACGUAGGUGAGUGAAAAACACUAAACAAUGUGGAACAGAGUGAACGAAGGAUUAGAGAAGUGAGGAAUGAACUGGUAGUGGAGAACCACGAGCAGCACGGUUUCGCUGUGGUUAGCACAACGUGUUCAAAACAGUGACCUUGUUUACCGCUCGAGGGUUCCACUCACACCACUCUUGCCUGACGAGAUGAACCCUUAUAAACUCUCUACAUAAAUGCUUCUUUUCCUCCGGCCUACCGCCUACGGCACUCCACAACCGCACUGAAAAAAAAAAAAAAAAAAAAUCGUCAUUAUGCCACACCCUUUUUCAACCUACAAACUCAGUUUUGCAUGGAGUAAUCUACUGCAAGAGGGUUGCGGUCCCUGCCUAAAAGAGAAACUGCUGAUUCUUCCUGCGGCCCACUGCUAGAUCUGUGACAGCAUUUCCCUAGGCGAUUAAGCUGUCCAAGAGAUGUUUGUCCUACUCCUUUUCUUCGUCUUCCCCUCUCUUCGAGCCGGAGACCAGGCCACUUCUGACCAGGGGCUCUUACGGCCUUUAUUGGCCAAGUGUCCUUGGUGGAAGACUACUUAUGGGUCAGAUAUCCAUACACCGACUUGAUUGAAGUACUAAAAAAAAAAAAAAAAAAAAAAAAGAGUUGGAAUUAGCACAUUAACUGGGAGUUUCCAUAAAUAACGAACACUCAUAGCCAAUACUCUAACAGUCUCAAAACUUUUACCUGGUGACAGACUUAAGAUUGUAAAAGAUACGGUUUUGGUUGCUCUGAAUAAUUAUGAGACCCUUACGUCUGCUCAACGCUCCAAAAGAGGGCUGGUAUAUGGAAUGGACAUUGCAUGCUUUUCGGAACUGCCUUAGAUAGCGAUGUAACUAACUUACAGAAUCGUUAUACCAAAUUGGUUGCAGAAGCUGUCAACAAAUAAAAUGGUUCAAUUAAACUGCAAGAAUAUUGAGCGCUUGAACCAUAACGUACAUACCUUGUUUAAUUACACUAACAAGUUUUGGACAUUCCUUACUGAAGCUUUUGAUAGGUUGCAUGAGCAGUAUGCUUUUCACAAAGUUUUCUUAUUACGUUCUGCUUUGGAAACCUCCGUUACCUCUAUCAUGCAUAGUAAUGAAUUAAUUCUCAGGAAUGUAGUAGAUGCUUUUGCCUGUUAAGGAUUUAUUGCAUACCCUAACCUUGGCAGAGGGUAAUUUCUCCCUUCUACCUAUAUUUACCGGAACAAAUGUACCUUCAUUACUACCUGUUCCUUAGUUCCAUGCUCGUUUCAGAUGUCAUUGUGGUCCAUGUUCCUUUUCGAUCACAUAGGGUCUACAGUGCUUGUCACAUUGAACUGUUCCCUUUCAAGGUAAAUACUACCAUCCAAACUUUAAACCUCCCACGGUCACAUGGUCUUGAAGACGCUGAUGGUCUUCAGUAUUCUGUCAGGGAUCCUCGAGAUCUUUUUGUUUUCACUUUUUGCCUUUGUACCAUUAACGAAAAUCGACGUGUGCGAGCUAUCCCUGGUACAUAAGCUCGCUUCGAGGAGUUUGUCUCUGCCCUUAUUCCCAUUUAGCUCCAACAUCUUACUUUCAUAAAAGCUUCAUGGGUCGUCAUUACUUCUUCUUUCCUGAAUCCAUGCCUGUCUCUGAAAUGUGCGAAGGGUCGUUACUCUUCCACAGCAUCAGGACACUUCUCCAUUUUCUACACUGAACAUCCUCGGUCUGUCCUUUACUUAUAAUCUGAGCUGGAAACUUCAUAUCUCAUCUCUAGCUAAAACAGCUUCUAUGAAAUUAGGUGUUCUGAGACGUCUCCGCCAGUUUUUCUCACCCCCCCCCCUAGCUGCUAACUCUGUACAAGGGCCUUAUUCGUCCAUGUAUGGAGUAUGCUUCUCAUAUCUGGGGGGGGGGGGUUCCACUCAUACCGUUCUUCUAGACAGGGUGGAAUCAAAAGGUUUUCAUCUCAUCAACACCUCUCCUCUAACUGACUGUCCCCAGCCCCUCUCUCAUCGCCGCAAUGUUGCAUAUCUAGCUGUAUUCUACCGCUAUUUUCAUGCUAACUGCUCUUCUGAUCUUGCUAACUGCAUGCCUCCCCUCCUCCCGCGGCCUCGCAGCACUAGACUUUCCUCUUUCUCUCACCCCUAUUCUGUCCACCUCUCUAAUGCAAGAGUUAACCAGUAUUCUCAAUCAUUCAUUUCCUUUCUCUGGUAAACUCUGAAACUCCCUGGCUGCUUCUGUUUUUCCACCUACCUAUGACUUGAAUUCCUUCAAAAGGGAGGUUUCAAGACACUUAUCCUUCAAUCUUUGAGAACCGCUUUGAACCCUUUUAUAGGACUGGCAUUUCAGUGGGCAUUUUUUUUUUUUUUUUUGCCCUUGGCCAGUGUCCCUCCUACAUAAAAAAAAAAAAAAAAAACUGUGUUCCUUAACUUCUUCUUCUUCCAACUUCCUACUCAUUCUGAAACACUACACCAGGGUUUUAUGCCAAAGAUUUUCAAAAGAUUCUAUACCUGGAAAAUGAAUAUUUCCAUUGUAAAAUAUGUCUCCAACUCAAUUUCUCAACUAUCUUUUGCAAAUUUAUCUGAAUUAGAAUCAGCUGUCCAUGGUUCUUUACCUUCCUACUUACAGCCUCAUACUCAUUAUCCUUCUUCAUCAUACCACUUGUCAUGACGUUGGUUUUAAUGAUUCCCCUGUACUGUCUCCUUAGACGGAUUUCGGUUUUGUAUAAAUUCCUUAAGGCCAGAGUCUCUCUACAAGAGACAGGCCACGACACCAGUCUCUGGUAAACUCUGGAAGUCCCUGCCUGUUUCUGUAUUUCCACCUUUCUAUGACUUGAAUUCCUUCAAGAGGGAGGUUUCAAGACACUUAUCCAUCAAUUUUUGACUACUGCCUUGACCCUCUUAUGGGACUGGCGUUUAAGUGGGCAUUUUUUUUUUAUUGGAUUUUUGUUGCCCUUGGCCAGUGUCCCUCCUUCAUAAAAAAAAAAAAAAAAUAAAUAAAUAAAUAAAAAAUGACGUGGAUAGGUACAUGUCUCUAGACUUAUUCCUCGUGAGAACGCUCAAGACUGGUGACCGAGCGGUGUACCCAUAGGUAGGUAAGGCUAGGUAAGAUAGGAAUAGGUAGGAUUUUUAUUCAUGUAGUGUGGGAAACUUCUAUGUUGGAAAUUUCCAUUGUUUUGCAUCUAUUGAGAUGUCUCCACCUAGCACCGACUAAUCACGAGGUGCUGACGAUAUGUCUGACGAUAUGCCCUGUCAAAUCCCUAACAACAACUUGCACUUUCGAAAACAUUACGGAUUCAUCUUCUGUUGAAAAGCAGUGUCUACAUCUAAUUUUUAUCCCAACCUAUGAGACAAGAGGGUUGUGGGGAUGUUAUCUUUUGGCCGGACACCGCCACUGUUCUUUCCUCAUGAUCAGCUUCACUCUCACUGGGCUGCACCUCCUCAACAAGAUUUGGGUAACUCUGCAUUUUUCACCAUUUCUACCAACUGAGGAUUAUUAUAUUCAGAAUAGGGUAUUAUCUUAGACUUGAGGAAACCCUGAAGGGAAAGAACCAUCCCCUAUAUAGCACGAGCACAUACUGCAUGAUGUACCUGGAGCCGUAUUAACAAAGAUUCUCAGAGUUCGUCUCGGCCUUCUACUUAGACUUGUGCUUAUCUCAUGACCGUGCUUAAAGUUGUGCUGAGCCUUGGUUGAGACGAAUUCUUAAGUCCCAGUAUGAAAUGGUGAAAGAGGAAAACAGUAAAAUCUUACAUUUCUGAAUUUCGAGUUAAUAGUGUAAUUUUUUUUCUUCGAUUGAAUACAAAAAAAACAAGAUAAAUAAAAAUUUAUCUUAAAUUUUGUAAGCAUAUGAGCGCAUCAAUUUGUGCUUUUCAUUAAACAAAUUAGAUCUGUCAACACGCCAACAGCACGACACAGGGACCAAAGGUCAUCAUUACUGCACAUCUGCAUUGGCUAAAUAUUAAUGUAAUUGUUAUUUUAAAUACUAGCGUUAGCGCAUCACUCUUUCCUUUGGGGCUUUCCAAGGAAUCUCUCGUCAAAUCUGUCACAAAUAACACUCCUGCAGGUCUAGUCUAUAUAUGUCUAGCAGUUCAGUGUCAUUCAGGUCAUCAAGUGCAUCCUUACGAGGCUGAUAAUUCUUGAGGUGGCGAGCAUGGGCUUGGCGGUCGGCCAUCUUUGUUUGGUUAACUUAGUCUUAAUGUAACUCGUAAAAUUAAGCUACAUACAGACAUGUCUUAAAUAUUCAGCAGCUUAGGACCUAGACUCAGUGUGACUUGAAAAGUUAAGCACAACUCUUAGCUUGGGAGUUGGUCUGGGUCAAAUCUUUACAGUUAAGAAUCUUUGUUAAUAAGGCUUAGAGCUGUGCUUAACUUCCCAAGCUGUGCUGAGUCUAGAUCUUAAGGCUCCUAAAAUUUAAGAUAUGUCCGGAUGUAGCUUAACUUUAAGAUUUACGCUAAGACCAGGUUAACCAAAUAAAGAUGGCCGACCGUCGUGCCCGAGCUCACCACCUCAAUAAUUAUCAACCCCUCAUGGAUGUUCUCAAUGACCUGAAUGACUUGGUGCUAAAGAAAGGAUGACCAUUCAGAUUGCUCUUUGUUGUGUGAACUUAGUGUUAUUCUUUAUGUACUCGUACUAAUGUACUUUGCUUUGAUUAAAUUUAAAGGUUCCAAA
This is an RNA transcript of Scylla paramamosain (green mud crab), 5073 nucleotides long. RefSeq lists it as uncharacterized. The transcript is spliced from 3 exons. NCBI's taxonomy places the organism in Eukaryota, Metazoa, Arthropoda, Malacostraca, Decapoda, Portunidae. The record is from RefSeq and is a predicted model, not a curated record.